GCAAAUAUGCCUACUUCUUCACUUUUUGUAGUUUCAAAAUGCACAAUUUACCCUGAUCAUCAUACAUCGCUUAAUAAUACCUUAAAACUCUCUGUUUCUGAUCUUCCUAUGCUUUCUUGCCAAUACAUUCAAAAGGGUGUUUUGUUAACUCAAUCUCCUUUUGAAUCUUCAAAUUCCCUUAUUUCCCAUCUCAAAACUGCACUUUCGAAGACCCUUUCUCAUUUCCCACCACUCGCCGGACGGUUAAUUACGGAUUCUGAUGGAUAUGUUUACAUCCUAUGUAACGAUGCCGGAAUUGAUUUUGUACAUACCAAAGCACCCCAUCUCAUGAUUUCAACUCUUGUUCCACAAAAUCAAUCUGAUAUUCCCAUUUAUUUCAGAAAAUUCUUCCAAUUUGAUAAAACACUUAGUUAUGCUGGACAUCAUAAACCCUUAAUGGCGAUUCAGGUUACGGAGCUAAACGACGCCGUGUUCAUCGGAUGUACCAUGAAUCACGCCGUCGUUGAUGGAACAUCCUUCUGGAAUUUCUUCAAUACUUUUGCAGAGUUUUCAAAAGGGGAGAUGAAGAUUACUAGGCAGCCGUGUUUUGGGCGUAAAACGGUAUUUGAUUCACCGGCGGUGCUUAAGUUCCCGGAAGGUGGACCGUCGGCGACUUUCUCCGGCGACGAGCCGUUGCGUGAGAAGAUCUUCCAUUUUAGCCGAGAAGCUAUUUUGAAGCUCAAGCUCAGAGCUAACAAAACGGGAGUUAACGGUAAAACUAACGGAAAGAUAACGCCAGUUAAUGAUGAGACGGGUUUGAAAAACGGCGCGGCUAUGAAGAAUUCGGCUUCGGAGAUUUCGUCGUUUCAGUCGUUAAGUGCUCAGCUGUGGAGAUCCGUGACGAGGGCUAGGAAAUUGGAAGGGAACAAAACGACGACGUUUAGGAUGGCGGUCAAUUGCCGACAUCGGUUGGAGCAACGGUUGGAGCCGCUCUAUUUUGGGAACGCGAUCCAAAGCAUCCCAACCAUUGCUUCGGUUAAGGAGUUGUUAUCUAACGACUUAUAUUGGAGUGCGAAUCAGCUACAUCAAAAUGUAGUGGCGCAUGGUGAUAUCACCGUGCGCCAAGGUGUAAAGGACUGGGAAAGUAACCCUAGGUUAUUUCCUUUAGGAAAUUUUGAUGGAGCUAUGAUUACUAUGGGAAGUUCACCUAGGUUUCCAAUGUACGAUAAUGAUUUUGGGUGGGGUCGACCGGUUGCGGUCAGAAGUGGCAUGGCUAAUAAAUUUGAUGGUAAGAUCUCCGCCUUCCCCGGACGAGAAGGAAAUGGAACCGUUGAUCUUGAAGUUGUUUUGGCACCCGAGACAAUGGUGGGACUUGAAGAGGACAUGGAAUUUAUGCAAUAUGUUUCUUAAUGGUGUUUAUUAAUGUGCAAAAAAAAUCGAAUCAAGGUGUUUAAAUGGAAAAUUUGUAAGUUUAUAUACAAUGCAAGUUUAAAUGGUCAUUUCGCAAUUGUGUUUUAUGUA
RNAcentral lists this unclassified non-coding RNA (1500 nucleotides) under Hevea brasiliensis (rubber tree). The record is from RNAcentral. Lineage: Eukaryota; Viridiplantae; Streptophyta; Magnoliopsida; Malpighiales; Euphorbiaceae.